This 439-nucleotide ribosomal RNA is filed under the name uncultured bacterium. RNAcentral describes it as "partial 16S ribosomal RNA". It matches the Rfam family "Bacterial small subunit ribosomal RNA", at positions 339 to 795 of the family's 1533-position model. The record is from RNAcentral.
CUACGGGUGGCAGCAGUAGGGAAUCUUCCACAAUGGACGAAAGUCUGAUGGAGCGACACCGCGUGAAGGAUGAAGGUCUAACGAUUGUAAACUUCUUUUCUGAAGGAACAUAAUGAGGGUACUUCAGGAAUAAGGGACGGCUAAUUACGUGCCAGCAGCCGCGGUAAUACGUAAGUCCCGAGUGUUAUCCGGAAUUACUGGGUGUAAAGAGUUCGUAGGUGGUAAAAUAAGUUGGAUAUGAAAGGCCGAGGCUCAACCUCGUGUUUGUGUUCAAAACUAUUUUUCUAGAAUUAGGGAGAGGUAAGCGGAAUUCUAAGUGUAGGGGUGCAAUCCGUAGAUACUUAGAGGAACACCAAAAGCGAAGGCAGCUUACUGGAACUAUAUUGACGCUGAGGAACGAAAGUGUGGGUAGCGAAAAGGAUUAGAUACCCCGGUAGUC